Molecule: ribosomal RNA, 307 nt
Filed under: uncultured eukaryote
Lineage: Eukaryota
Description: partial 18S ribosomal RNA
Rfam family: Eukaryotic small subunit ribosomal RNA
Source: RNAcentral
CCCUUAGACGUUCUGGGCCGCACGCGCGCUACACUGACGAAGGCAACGAGCUUUCCUUUACCGAAAGGUACGGGUAAUCUUUUGAAACUUCGUCGUGCUGGGGAUAGAUCCUUGUAAUUUUUGAUCUUAAACGAGGAAUGCCUAGUAAGCGCAAGUCAUCAACUUGCGUUGAUUACGUCCCUGCCCUUUGUACACACCGCCCGUCGCUACUACCGAUUGAAUGGUUUAGUGAGGCCUUCGGAUCCGCGACUCGUUUGUGGAGAAGUUGGACAAACUCAGUCAUUUAGAGGAAGUAAAAGUCGUAACA